AUCGCUUCUCAGCCUUUUGGCUAAGAUCAAGUGUA
This 35-nucleotide small nuclear RNA is filed under the name Cervus elaphus hippelaphus. The record is from RNAcentral. Lineage: Eukaryota; Metazoa; Chordata; Mammalia; Artiodactyla; Cervidae.